Small nuclear RNA from Octodon degus (degu), 106 nucleotides. The record is from Ensembl. Lineage: Eukaryota; Metazoa; Chordata; Mammalia; Rodentia; Octodontidae.
CUGCUUGCUUCAGCAACACACAUGCUAAAAUUAAAGUGACUCAGAAGAGAUUAGCAUGACCCUACACAAGGAUGACACACAAAUUCAUGAAGCAUUUCACAUUAAA